This 175-nucleotide ribosomal RNA is filed under the name uncultured bacterium. RNAcentral describes it as "partial 16S ribosomal RNA". It matches the Rfam family "Bacterial small subunit ribosomal RNA", at positions 338 to 529 of the family's 1533-position model. The record is from RNAcentral.
UCUACGGGAGGCAGCAGUGGGGAAUAUUGCACAAUGGGGGAAACCCUGAUGCAGCAACGCCGCGUGAGCGAUGAAGGCCUUCGGGUCGUAAAGCUCUGUCCUAAGGGAAGAUAGUGACGGUACCUUAGGAGGAAGCCCCGGCUAACUACGUGCCAGCAGCCGCGGUAAUAAUCAA